Molecule: ribosomal RNA, 766 nt
Filed under: uncultured bacterium
Lineage: Bacteria
Description: bacterial SSU rRNA
Rfam family: Bacterial small subunit ribosomal RNA
Source: RNAcentral
GAACGCUGGCGGCGUGCCUAAUACAUGCAAGUCGAGCGGACUUGAUGGAGCUUGCUCCAUCAAGUUAGCGGCGGACGGGUGAGUAACACAUGGGCAACCUGCCUGUAAGACUGGGAUAACUCCGGGAAACCGGAGCUAAUACCGGAUAGUAUCUUGAACCGCAUGGUUCAAGCUGGAAAGACGGUUUCGGCUGUCACUUACAGAUGGGCCCGCGGCGCAUUAGCUAGUUGGUGAGGUAAUGGCUCACCAAGGCAACGAUGCGUAGCCUACCUGAGAGGGUGAUCGGCCACACUGGGACUGAGACACGGCCCAGACUCCUACGGGAGGCAGCAGUAGGGAAUCUUCCGCAAUGGACGAAAGUCUGACGGAGCAACGCCGCGUGAGUGAUGAAGGUUUUCGGAUCGUAAAACUCUGUUGUUAGGGAAGAACAAGUGCGAGAGUAACUGCUCGCACCUUGACGGUACCUAACCAGAAAGCCACGGCUAACUACGUGCCAGCAGCCGCGGUAAUACGUAGGUGGCAAGCGUUGUCCGGAAUUAUUGGGCGUAAAGCGCGCGCAGGCGGUUUCUUAAGUCUGAUGUGAAAGCCCCCGGCUCAACCGGGGAGGGUCAUUGGAAACUGGGAAACUUGAGUGCAGAAGAGGAGAGUGGAAUUCCACGUGUAGCGGUGAAAUGCGUAGAGAUGUGGAGGAACACCAGUGGCGAAGGCGACUCUCUGGUCUGUAACUGACGCUGAGGCGCGAAAGCGUGGGGAGCGAACAGGAUUA